This 459-nucleotide ribosomal RNA is filed under the name uncultured bacterium. RNAcentral describes it as "partial 16S ribosomal RNA". It matches the Rfam family "Bacterial small subunit ribosomal RNA", at positions 338 to 795 of the family's 1533-position model. The record is from RNAcentral.
CCUACGGGUGGCAGCAGUGAGGAAUAUUGGUCAAUGGGCGCAAGUCUGAACCAGCCAAGUCGCGUGAGGGAAGACGGUCCUAUGGAUUGUAAACUGCUUUUGUCGGGGAGCAAAAGACGCCACGCGUGGCGUUCCGAGAGUACCCCAAGAAAAAGCAUCGGCUAACUCCGUGCGAGCAGCCGCGGUAAUACGGAGGAUGCGAGCGUUAUCCGGUUUUUUUGGGUGUAAGGGGUGAGCAGGCGGAAGAUCAAGUCGGCGGUAAAAUUGAGGGGCUCAACCUCUUCAGGCCGUUGAAACUGGUGUUCUUGAGUGAGCGAGAAGUAUGCGGAAUGCGUGGUGUAGCGGUGAAAUGCAUAGAUAUCACGCAGAACUCCGAUUGCGAAGGCAGCAUACCGGCGCUCAACUGACGCUCAUGCACGAAAGUGUGGGUAUCGAACAGGAUUAGAUACCCCUGUAGUC